AGAGUUUGAUCCUGGCUCAGGAUGAACGCUAGCUACAGGCUUAACACAUGCAAGGUCGAGGGGAAACGACAUCGUAAAGCUUUGCUUUUGAUGGGCGUCGACCGGCGUACGGGUGAGUAACGCGUAUCCAACCUGCCCACCACUUGGGGAUAACCUUGCGAAAGUAAGACUAAUACCCAAUGACGUCUCUAGAAGACAUCUGAAAGAGAUUAAAGAUUUAUCGGUGAUGGAUGGGGAUGCGUCUGAUUAGCUUGUUGGCGGGGUAACGGCCCACCAAGGCGACGAUCAGUAGGGGUUCUGAGAGGAAGGCCCCCCACAUUGGAACUGAGACACGGUCCAAACUCCUACGGGAGGCAGCA
RNAcentral lists this ribosomal RNA (359 nucleotides) under uncultured bacterium. RNAcentral describes it as "bacterial SSU rRNA". It matches the Rfam family "Bacterial small subunit ribosomal RNA", at positions 8 to 353 of the family's 1533-position model. The record is from RNAcentral.